RNAcentral lists this ribosomal RNA (492 nucleotides) under uncultured bacterium. RNAcentral's name for it is "partial 16S ribosomal RNA". It matches the Rfam family "Bacterial small subunit ribosomal RNA", at positions 29 to 507 of the family's 1533-position model. The record is from RNAcentral.
AGUGAACGCUGGCGGUAGGCCUAACACAUGCAAGUCGAACGGCAGCACAGUAAGAGCUUGCUCUUACGGGUGGCGAGUGGCGGACGGGUGAGGAAUACAUCGGAAUCUACUUUUUCGUGGGGGAUAACGUAGGGUAACUUACGCUAAUACCGCAUACGACCUACGGGUGAAAGCAGGGGAUCUUCGGACCUUGCGCGAUUGAAUGAGCCGAUGUCGGAUUAGCUAGUUGGCGGGGUAAAGGCCCACCAAGGCGACGAUCCGUAGCUGGUCUGAGAGGAUGGUCAGCCACACUGGAACUGAGACACGGUCCAGACUCCUACGGGAGGCAGCAGUGGGGAAUAUUGGACAAUGGGCGCAAGCCUGAUCCAGCCAUACCGCGUGGGUGAAGAAGGCCUUCGGGUUGUAAAGCCCUUUUGUUGGGAAAGAAAAGCAGCAGGUUAAUACCCCGCUGUUCUGACGGUACCCAAAGAAUAAGCACCGGCUAACUUCGUG